UGGGGAAUAUUGGACAAUGGGCGCAAGCCUGAUCCAGCCAUGCCGCGUGAGUGAUGAAGGCCCUAGGGUUGUAAAGCUCUUUCACCUGUGAAGAUAAUGACGGUAACCGGAGAAGAAGCCCCGGCUAACUUCGUGCCAGCAGCCGCGGUAAUACGAAGGGGGCUAGCGUUGUUCGGAUUUACUGGGCGUAAAGCGCACGUAGGCGGGCUAUUAAGUCAGGGGUGAAAUCCCGGGGCUCAACCCCGGAACUGCCUUUGAUACUGGUAGUCUUGAGUUCGAGAGAGGUGGGUGGAGUUCCGGGUGUAGAAGUGAAAUUCGUAGAUAUUCGGAGGAACACCAGUGGCGAAGGCGGCUCACUGGCUCGAUACUGACGCUGAGGUGCGAAAGCGUGGGGAGCAAACAGG
This 404-nucleotide ribosomal RNA is filed under the name Actinomycetes bacterium. RNAcentral describes it as "Actinobacteria bacterium partial 16S ribosomal RNA". It matches the Rfam family "Bacterial small subunit ribosomal RNA", at positions 355 to 776 of the family's 1533-position model. The record is from RNAcentral. Lineage: Bacteria; Bacillati; Actinomycetota; Actinomycetes.